RNAcentral lists this small RNA (75 nucleotides) under Sphingomonas xinjiangensis. RNAcentral describes it as "Sphingomonas sp. 10-1-84 Makes More Granules Regulator RNA (mmgR)". It matches the Rfam family "Makes More Granules Regulator RNA (mmgR)". From Rfam's summary of the family: SuhB later renamed mmgR (makes more granules regulator) was a putative non-coding RNA found multiple times in the Agrobacterium tumefaciens genome and related alpha-proteobacteria. Other non-coding RNAs uncovered in the same analysis include: speF, ybhL, metA, and serC. The record is from Rfam by way of RNAcentral. Lineage: Bacteria; Pseudomonadati; Pseudomonadota; Alphaproteobacteria; Sphingomonadales; Sphingomonadaceae.
AGAUCGGGCCUUUCAGGCAUCCUCUCCUAAGACUUUCCAGGCCGUCCUCCGGGGCGGCCUUUUUUUAUCUGUUUA